CGCCCGUUAGCUCAGUUGGUUGGGUAAGUCGUGCUAAUAACGCGAAGGUCGUGGGUUCGAUCCCCUCACGGGCAG
Molecule: non-coding RNA, 75 nt
Organism: Trichonephila inaurata madagascariensis
Lineage: Eukaryota; Metazoa; Arthropoda; Arachnida; Araneae; Nephilidae
Source: the annotation of a GenBank genome assembly